Molecule: long non-coding RNA, 547 nt
Filed under: Physcomitrium patens
Lineage: Eukaryota; Viridiplantae; Streptophyta; Bryopsida; Funariales; Funariaceae
Description: long non-coding RNA (PPAT_LNC012616)
Source: RNAcentral
CACCAACUCAAAUUAUUGCUGCAAUUCGUAAUUUAUUGUCUAUCAAGGAAGACGAGAAAUAAUUACAAUCUUAAUUUUAAGGUACCUAUUGUAAUUCAGGCAUCUAUUGUAAUUUAUAGAACCACCAAAUUAUGGUUUUAAGUUUUGAUUUUUAAAAAUGGUAUUUGAUUUAAUUUCUAUUAAUGUACUAAUCAAGUGUAGUUACUUUUUGGCAUAUACAUGCAAAAAUUAGUUAAAAGAAAUACUUUAUUCACUGCUUGUGUUACUUAUUAAGGUUUGACACUGAAUGAGGAUCAUAGUAUAGUUUUUCAUGCAUAAAUGUAAAUUUUAUAUCAAAGGCAUAGUUUAUCAAAUAAUUAGGUCAAAUAUUUAAAUUAUGGGCUACCCGAUGAUUUUCAUGCAUUCACACUACAGCAGAAAAAAACACAUUUCUCAAACUCAAACGAUGUGUUCAAAAUAACAGCCUAACAAAUUGAAAUACCCAAAUAAAAUGAUGUCGAUUUAAAUAGAUUGUUGAUUGUUGUCUGUAAUUGAAAUGAUUCAUUAA